AGCGCAUACGGUGGAUGCCUUGGCAGUCAGAGGCGAUGAAAGACGUGGUAGCCUGCGAAAAGCUUCGGGGAGUCGGCAAACAGACUGUGAUCCGGAGAUGUCUGAAUGGGGGAACCCAGCCAUCAUAAGAUGGUUAUCUUGUACUGAAUACAUAGGUGCAAGAGGCGAACCAGGGGAACUGAAACAUCUAAGUACCCUGAGGAAAAGAAAUCAACCGAGAUUCCCUUAGUAGUGGCGAGCGAACGGGGACCAGCCCUUAAGUUGUAUUGAGAUUAGCGGAACGUUCUGGAAAGGACGGCCAUAGUGGGUGAUAGCCCUGUACGCGAAAAUCCCUUUGCAAUGAAAUCGAGUAGGACGGGGCACGAGAAACCUUGUCUGAAUAUGGGGGGACCAUCCUCCAAGGCUAAAUACUACUGACUGACCGAUAGUGAACCAGUACCGUGAGGGAAAGGCGAAAAGAACCGCGGAGAGCGGAGUGAAAUAGAUCCUGAAACUGUAUGCGUACAAGCAGUGGGAGCCCACUUUGUUGGGUGACUGCGUACCUUUUGUAUAAUGGGUCAGCGACUUAUUUUCAGUGGCGAGCUUAACCGAAUAGGGGAGGCGUAGCGAAAGCGAGUCUUAAUAGGGCGUCUAGUCGCUGGGAAUAGACCCGAAACCGGGCGAUCUAUCCAUGGGCAGGUUGAAGGUUGGGUAACACUAACUGGAGGACCGAACCGACUACCGUUGAAAAGUUAGCGGAUGACCUGUGGAUCGGAGUGAAAGGCUAAUCAAGCUCGGAGAUAGCUGGUUCUCCUCGAAAGCUAUUUAGGUAGCGCCUCAUGUAUCACUGUAGGGGGUAGAGCACUGUUUCGGCUAGGGGGUCAUCCCGACUUACCAAACCGAUGCAAACUCCGAAUACCUACAAGUGCCGAGCAUGGGAGACACACGGCGGGUGCUAACGUCCGUCGUGAAAAGGGAAACAACCCAGACCGUCAGCUAAGGUCCCAAAGUCAUGGUUAAGUGGGAAACGAUGUGGGAAGGCUUAGACAGCUAGGAGGUUGGCUUAGAAGCAGCCACCCUUUAAAGAAAGCGUAAUAGCUCACUAGUCGAGUCGGCCUGCGCGGAAGAUGUAACGGGGCUCAAACCAUGCACCGAAGCUACGGGUAUCAUCUUUUGAUGAUGCGGUAGAGGAGCGUUCUGUAAGCCUGUGAAGGUGAGUUGAGAAGCUUGCUGGAGGUAUCAGAAGUGCGAAUGCUGACAUGAGUAACGACAAUGGGUGUGAAAAACACCCACGCCGAAAGACCAAGGUUUCCUGCGCAACGUUAAUCGACGCAGGGUUAGUCGGCCCCUAAGGCGAGGCUGAAAAGCGUAGUCGAUGGAAAACAGGUUAAUAUUCCUGUACUUCUGGUUAUUGCGAUGGAGGGACGGAGAAGGCUAGGCCAGCCUGGCGUUGGUUGUCCAGGUUUAAGGUGGUAGGCUGAGAUCUUAGGUAAAUCCGGGAUUUCAAGGCCGAGAGCUGAUGACGAGUGUUCUUUAGAACACGAAGUGGUUGAUGCCAUGCUUCCAAGAAAAGCUUCUAAGCUUCAGGUAACCAGGAACCGUACCCCAAACCGACACAGGUGGUUGGGUAGAGAAUACCAAGGCGCUUGAGAGAACUCGGGUGAAGGAACUAGGCAAAAUGGCACCGUAACUUCGGGAGAAGGUGCGCCGGUGAGGGUGAAGCAUUUACUGCGUAAGCCCACGCCGGUCGAAGAUACCAGGCCGCUGCGACUGUUUAUUAAAAACACAGCACUCUGCAAACACGAAAGUGGACGUAUAGGGUGUGACGCCUGCCCGGUGCCGGAAGGUUAAUUGAUGGGGUUAGCGCAAGCGAAGCUCUUGAUCGAAGCCCCGGUAAACGGCGGCCGUAACUAUAACGGUCCUAAGGUAGCGAAAUUCCUUGUCGGGUAAGUUCCGACCUGCACGAAUGGCGUAACGAUGGCGGCGCUGUCUCCACCCGAGACUCAGUGAAAUUGAAAUCGCUGUGAAGAUGCAGUGUAUCCGCGGCUAGACGGAAAGACCCCGUGAACCUUUACUAUAGCUUUGCACUGGACUUUGAAUUUGCUUGUGUAGGAUAGGUGGGAGGCUUUGAAGCGUGGACGCCAGUCUGCGUGGAGCCAACCUUGAAAUACCACCCUGGCAACUUUGAGGUUCUAACUCAGGUCCGUUAUCCGGAUCGAGGACAGUGUAUGGUGGGUAGUUUGACUGGGGCGGUCUCCUCCUAAAGAGUAACGGAGGAGUACGAAGGUGCGCUCAGACCGGUCGGAAAUCGGUCGUAGAGUAUAAAGGCAAAAGCGCGCUUGACUGCGAGACAGACACGUCGAGCAGGUACGAAAGUAGGUCUUAGUGAUCCGGUGGUUCUGUAUGGAAGGGCCAUCGCUCAACGGAUAAAAGGUACUCCGGGGAUAACAGGCUGAUACCGCCCAAGAGUUCAUAUCGACGGCGGUGUUUGGCACCUCGAUGUCGGCUCAUCACAUCCUGGGGCUGAAGCCGGUCCCAAGGGUAUGGCUGUUCGCCAUUUAAAGUGGUACGCGAGCUGGGUUUAGAACGUCGUGAGACAGUUCGGUCCCUAUCUGCCGUGGACGUUUGAGAUUUGAGAGGGGCUGCUCCUAGUACGAGAGGACCGGAGUGGACGAACCUCUGGUGUUCCGGUUGUCACGCCAGUGGCAUUGCCGGGUAGCUAUGUUCGGAAAAGAUAACCGCUGAAAGCAUCUAAGCGGGAAACUUGCCUCAAGAUGAGAUCUCACUGGAACCUUGA
RNAcentral lists this ribosomal RNA (2776 nucleotides) under Pseudomonas savastanoi pv. phaseolicola. RNAcentral describes it as "bacterial LSU rRNA". It matches the Rfam family "Bacterial large subunit ribosomal RNA". Lineage: Bacteria; Pseudomonadati; Pseudomonadota; Gammaproteobacteria; Pseudomonadales; Pseudomonadaceae. The record is from RNAcentral.